Molecule: non-coding RNA, 96 nt
Organism: Postia placenta Mad-698-R
Lineage: Eukaryota; Fungi; Basidiomycota; Agaricomycetes; Polyporales; Adustoporiaceae
Source: Rfam
GCCGCCUUAGCGUAGUGGUAGCGCGUCGCACUUGUAGGCCUACCUACCACAGGUUACGUCAUGCGAAGGUCACUCGUUCGAUCCGGGUAGGUGGCA